ACGGAAGUAUCCUAGUGGCGAACGGGUGAGUAACGCGUUGGUGACCUGCCCCAAAGUGUGGAAUAACAGUCCGAAAGGAUUGCUAAUACCGCAUGUGGUCUGCGAGUUUAGAAAUCGUUGACUAAAGGAGUAAUCCGCUUUGGGAGGGACCUGCGUCCCAUCAGCUAGUUGGUGAGGUAACGGCUCACCAAGGCGACGACGGGUAGGGGACCUGAGAGGGUGGCCCCCCACAAUGGAACUGAAACACGGUCCAUACACCUACGGGUGGCAGCAGUAGGGAAUAUUGCUCAAUGGGCGAAAGCCUGAAGCAGCAACGCCGCGUGUGCGAUGAAGGUCUUCGGAUCGUAAAGCACUUUUCUGAGAGAUGAGAAAGGACAGUAUCUCAGGAAUAAGUCUCGGCUAACUACGUGCCAGCAGCCGCGGUAAAACGUAGGAGGCGAGCGUUAUCCGGAUUCACUGGGCGUAAAGCGCGUGCAGGUGGUUCGGUAAGUUGGGCGUGAAAUCUCCCGGCUCAACUGGGAGAGGUCGUCCAAUACUACCGGACUUGAGAGCAGAAGAGGAAGAUGGAAUUCCCGGUGUAGUGGUGAAAUGCGUAGAUAUCGGGAGGAACACCAGUGGCGAAGGCGAUCUUCUGGUCUGUUUCUGACACUCAGACGCGACAGCUAGGGUAGUAAACGGGAUUAGAGACCCCGGUAAUCCUAGCCGUAAACGAUGUGAACUUGGCGUUGGUGGGUUAAACUCCAUCAGUGCCGCAGCAAACGCGAUAAGUUCACCGCCUGGGGACUACGGCCGCAAGGUUAAAACUCAAAGGAAUUGACGGGGGCCCGCACAAGCGGUGGAGCAUGUGGUUCAAUUCGACGCAACGCGAAGAACCUUACCUGGGCU
This 885-nucleotide ribosomal RNA is filed under the name biofilm metagenome. RNAcentral describes it as "bacterial SSU rRNA". It matches the Rfam family "Bacterial small subunit ribosomal RNA", at positions 81 to 981 of the family's 1533-position model. The record is from RNAcentral.